Molecule: transfer RNA, 72 nt
Organism: Ovis aries (sheep)
Lineage: Eukaryota; Metazoa; Chordata; Mammalia; Artiodactyla; Bovidae
Rfam family: tRNA
About the family: Transfer RNA (tRNA) molecules are approximately 80 nucleotides in length.
Source: Rfam
UCCCUGGUGGCUCAGAUGGUUAAGCAUCUGUCUACAAUGCAGGAGACCCGGGUUUGAUCCCUGGGUCGGGAA